Molecule: transfer RNA, 27 nt
Filed under: Anser anser (Domestic goose)
Lineage: Eukaryota; Metazoa; Chordata; Aves; Anseriformes; Anatidae
Also listed under: 1 other name
Description: partial tRNA-Phe
Source: RNAcentral
GUCCACAUAGCUUAACACAAAGCAUGG